RNAcentral lists this ribosomal RNA (465 nucleotides) under uncultured bacterium. RNAcentral's name for it is "partial 16S ribosomal RNA". It matches the Rfam family "Bacterial small subunit ribosomal RNA", at positions 338 to 795 of the family's 1533-position model. The record is from RNAcentral.
CCUACGGGUGGCAGCAGUGGGGAAUAUUGCGCAAUGGGCGAAAGCCUGACGCAGCGACGCCGCGUGAGGGAUGAAGGUCUUCGGAUCGUAAACCUCUGUCAGCAGGGAAGCACGGUCACUGUGCUAAUCAGCAGUGAAUUGACGGUACCUGCAAAGGAAGCACCGGCUAACUCCGUGCCAGCAGCCGCGGUAAUACGGAGGGUGCGAGCGGUAAUCGGAAUUACUGGGCGUAAAGCGCUCGUAGGCGGUAUGUCAAGUCAAGGGUGAAAUCCCCGCGCGCAACGUGGGAACUGCCUUUGAAACUGGGAGACUGGAGUGUGUGAGAGGAGAGUGGAAUUCCAGGUGUAGGAGUGAAAUCCGUAGAUAUCUGGAGGAACAUCAGUGGCGAAGGCGACUAUCUGGCACAUAACUGACGCUGAGGAGCGAAAGCGUGGGUAGCAAACAGGAUUAGAUACCCGUGUAGUC